UUCCGGUUCCGGGUCAACGUGAAUGACUGCUCGCUGACUGCUCUUGUUGCAAAAAAGCUAAGUAUCGUUCUAUCUGUGUGAUUUUAACUGUUUUGCAGCUUUAUUUACAACUUAUCGAACAUAUUUAAUAGUUCAAUUUAACUUGCAAAUCACCCGAUCUCUGUCUCACCACUUCGCCCUCAGCUAGCUAGCUGCUAAGCUAACGAGGCUAGCGGAGAAAGGCAGCGCCGGUCUGAAGGAAGCUUCACCCCCGCCACCGUGACCACCACUUCCCGAAGACAGCAGGCACUCCACUCGGCGACGGAAAGUUUCUGGGGUCCGGUCCGAUGACCAUGGAUGAAGUACUGACUGUCCAGAGUCGAGACCCAGGAUGGACCGCUCGUCGGGACCCAGGAUGGACCGCUCGCCUGUAUCGGUUGGGGACAUCUCUACGCUGCUGAUCCGCUUGAGAUGGUUUCCUGUGGACGGGACUCUCACUGCUGUCUUGGAGCCACUAUGGAUUGAACUUUCACAGUAUCAUGUUAGACCCGCUCGACAUCCAUUGCUUUCGGUCCCCUAGAGGGGGGGGGUUGCCCACAUCUGAGGUCCUCUCCAAGGUUUCUCAUAGUCAGCAUUGUCGCUGGCGUCCCACUGAAUGUGAAUUCUCCCUGCCCACUGGGUGUGAGUUUUCCUUGCCCUUUUGUGGGUUCUUCCGAGGAUGUUGUAGUCGUAAUGAUUUGUGCAGUCCUUUGAGACAUUUGUGAUUUGGGGCUAUAUAAAUAAACAUUGAUUGAUUGAUUGAUAUAUAUAUAUAUAUAUAUAUAUAUAUAUAUAUAUAUAUAUAUAUAUAUAUAUAUAUAUAUAUUUAUACCCCCUGAUAUGUCUUUUAAAUACCUGGGCCUCAUUUUAUCAAAAUAUAUAACAACAUUAUCAGUAUAAAAUGAUCUACCCAUACAUAAGAAAAUAAAAGAUGACAUAGCACGAUGGAACUUAAUUCCUUUUUUUCGCCUUAGCUGUAGAAUUGAUUGUAUUAAAAGGAAUGCACUUCCAAGACUGCUGUACCGAUUUCAAACUCUGCCAAUAGAGAUCAACAAAAAAUAAUUCAGCUUCAUGUAGUGUAAUGAAAGAUUAAAAAAUGCUCAGUUUUGAAACUAUUAAAGGGGAACAUUAUCAGCAGACCUAUGUAAGCGUCAAUAUAUACCUUGAUGGUGCAGAAAAAAGACCAUAUAUUUUUUUAACCGAUUUCCGAACUCUAAAUGGGUAAAUUUUGGCGAAUUAAACGCCUUUUUGUUUAUCGCGCUGGAGGCGAUGACGUCAGAAUGUGACGUCACCGAGGUAAUACAGCCGCCAUUUUCAUUUUCAACACAUUACAAAGACCAGGUCUCAGCUCUGUUAUUUUCCGUUUUUUCGACUAUUUUUUGUAACCUUGGAGACAUCAUGUCUCGUCGGUGUGUUGUCGGAGGGUGUAACAACACUAACAGGGAGGGAUUCAAGUUGCACCACUGGCCCCAAGAUGCCAAAGUGUCUGCCGCCAGACCCCCAUUGAAUGUGCCAGAGUGUCUCCACAUUUUACCGGCGAUAACAGACAUGGCACAGAGAUGUAUGGAUAACCUGCAGAUGCAUUUGAAACGAUAUUCAACGAAAUCACAAAGGUGAGUUUUGUUGAUGUUGUUGACAUAUGUGCUAAUCAGACAUAUUUGGUCGCGGCAUGACUGCCAGCUAAUCGAUGCUAACAUGCUAUUUACUGGCGGUUGUAAAGCAGACAUGGCACAGAGAUGUAUGGAUAACCUGCAAAUGCAUUUGCAACGAUAAAGUCAACGAAAUCAUAAAGGUGAGUUUUGUUGAUGUUGACUGCCAGCUAAUCGAUGCUAACAUGCUAUGCUAAUCGAUGCUAACAUGCUAUUUACCGGCGGUGCUAAAGCAGACAUGGCACAGAGAUGCAUGGAUAACCUGCAGAUGCAUUUGCAACUAUAUUACGUUUCCUUCCACCCACAUUUUAUGCGAAAAAAUCACUUACCAAUCGACGGAUUUAAGUUGCUCCAGUGUCACAAGAUGCGAAAGUCCUGAUCGUUUGGUCCGCACAUUUUACCAGCAAUGCUAAAGCAGCUAUUCGGCCAUGCUAUGGCUAUGAAUAGCGUCAAUAGCUAUUCGCUCAAUAGCUUCAGUUUCUUCUUCAAUACUUUCAUACUCCAACCAUCUGUUUCAAUACAUGCGUAAUCUGUUGAAUCGCUUAAAUCGCUGAAAUCCGAGUGUGAAUCCGAGCUAAUGUCGCUAUAUCUUGCUGUGCUAUUCCCAUUGUUUGUUUACAUUGGCAGCACUGUAUGACGUCACAGGGAAAUGGAUAGUGGUUUCGAAGAUAGCGAAAAUAAGGCAAUUUAAAGCUUUAUUUAGGGAUAUUCCGAGACCGGUAAAAUUUUGAGUGAAACUUCAAAAAAUACAACAAGCCCCUGGGAACUGAUUUUUAUUGUUUUAACCCUUUUGAAAUUGUGAUAAUGUUCCCCUUUAAAAGGACACAUUUAAAAAAAAAAACAAGACUUAUAUCAAUAUCUGCAGUUGCAGCAUUUUGUUAAUAUGAAGGUGAAAAAUGUAACAAAGACAAGCAUUUGUUUCAUUGAACUAUUUACAAAAGCAUAUAAUUCAGAAACUAUUGAUAGAAGUGUUUCAUGCUUGUAUAAGAAAUCAUAUUCAACUUUAUAUGUUAAAACAAAAUGGGAGAAGGAAGGAGGGAUAACUACAUCUGAGGAAGAAUGGACAAUAAAAUGGAGAUAUCAAUGGACUUGUAGCAGCUCACCCAAGUGGAGAGUUUGGCUGGGAAAGUUUUAUUCCACCUUCUCAGAAGUCUCAGUAUGAUAACAACUCCCCUGCCUGUUGGACAAAUUGUGGGAAUCUAAAGGCAAACCACUAGCAUGUUUUCUGGGACUGCUCUGCCAUAAAGGACUAUUGGAAAGAGAUACACCAAGCUCUACAGGAUAUUUUCAAAUCACCCCUUGAAAGUAACAUUCUGUUUUUCACACAUCGCACCUCAGGAUUGGCUGAAAAAAGAGAAAUACUUCAUGAAUAUCCUACUAGUGGUUUGUAAAAAGAGCAUUACCAGGAAAUGGAUAUUACAGGAGAGCCCAACUUUGAAGAAAUGGAUGGAAAUCACAAUGGACAUUUAUAAAACACAGGAGAUAACAGCUUUUAUUAUUUAUAAACUAGAGAUAUUUACUUCAUACUGGGAAUACUGGCUCCAUUAUGUCACGCCACAUAAGACUAUUUUUUUUUCUAAUUAGUGAUUAAACUGUUUUAAAAAAAAAAGAUUACUCCCUAUAUGUAUAUAGUUUUAUCUGUUUAUAUUAUUUGUUAUUAAUAUUAUUAUUACUUUGUUUUUUGUUUUCGUUUUUUUGCUGUCUUUCUUUUUUUGUGGGGGAGGGGUGCAGGUGUCAUCGUUGGGAAAUAAACAAAAAAUAAUAUGUUGA
Long non-coding RNA from Nerophis ophidion (straightnose pipefish), 3437 nucleotides. RefSeq lists it as uncharacterized. The transcript has 2 exons. The record is from RefSeq and is a predicted model, not a curated record. Lineage: Eukaryota; Metazoa; Chordata; Actinopteri; Syngnathiformes; Syngnathidae.